This 253-nucleotide ribosomal RNA is filed under the name uncultured bacterium. Its description in RNAcentral is "partial 16S ribosomal RNA". It matches the Rfam family "Bacterial small subunit ribosomal RNA", at positions 524 to 776 of the family's 1533-position model. The record is from RNAcentral.
UACGAAGGGGGCUAGCGUUGUUCGGAAUUACUGGGCGUAAAGCGCACGUAGGCGGGUCGUUAAGUCAGGGGUGAAAUCCCGGAGCUCAACUCCGGAACUGCCUUUGAUACUGGCGAUCUAGAGAUCGAGAGAGGUGAGUGGAAUUCCGAGUGUAGAGGUGAAAUUCGUAGAUAUUAGGAAGAACACCGGUGGCGAAGGCGGCAUCCUGGACCGGCAUUGACGCUGAGGAGCGAAAGCCAGGGGAGCAAACGGG